GCUUUUAUUUUGGUACAAUAUAUCUUUUAUCUCUCUUGCCGCUAUAUCCUCUUCUGAUAAACUGAUUCAUCAUUAUCAUCUACAAUGGAGAUAAAACAUAAAUGGCUUCAUCACAAUUCCAAAGGCUUAUUGCAGUUUUUUUUAUGGGUUAAGCAGAGAAAACACAACUUACCAGAGCACUCGAGGGCUUCAAGAUGAUAGUGAAGGGGUUUCUCAAUUUAUGUUUUGAUUGAGGAUUGUUGUUGGAAUCAAGUGCAAAGACGGGAUUGUAAUGGUAUCUUUCGGAGUUACUUGCGGAGCGUCAUAAGCGUUGUGGUUUUUGUUGUUUAUAAUCUAUAUUCAUUCCUUGCUUCAGAACUUUUAAGCUCUUAUAUAGCUGACGAACACUUAAAUUGCUGCUAAGAGAUACAUCUAUAAUAAGUAAUAGCUAGUAGUUAGAGGUAAUAUAAAAGGUGGGUUAUUGUCUAAUUUUACAACCCACAUAGAGAUUAAUGUUAGAGUACUAGAACACGAAAUUACUAAUUCUGUAUUCUUAUAGUGACUUAUGUCAUUCUAUUUAACUAUAGAGUAAGAGCAAAAAAACUAUUCUUUACCAACUCAAUUAACUAUGUUGUCUUUCCAUUCAUUGGUGUCCUGCUGACUACAUGUGUUCACUAAUUCUAACUGGUGCGUCUUACUCUUGGAAAAUUGACAGAUUUGGAACAGAAAUUUUGUGGUGCACCACAUUGUUGGAGAAUACCACUGUUUUUAGUCAGAGUGAGCUUGACCACCAUAGCCCUCUGGCUUUUGGAGGGAUAUUUCAAAAUGAAGAGCGGACCUGAACGGAUGGGCGUCACAGUCUCUGUCAUAAGCUAACAAUUAACAUAACUCUUUUUGUCUAAUACAAUACU
Long non-coding RNA from Camelina sativa (false flax), 890 nucleotides. RefSeq lists it as uncharacterized. The record is from RefSeq and is a predicted model, not a curated record. Lineage: Eukaryota; Viridiplantae; Streptophyta; Magnoliopsida; Brassicales; Brassicaceae.